Molecule: long non-coding RNA, 1000 nt
Organism: Malus domestica (apple)
Lineage: Eukaryota; Viridiplantae; Streptophyta; Magnoliopsida; Rosales; Rosaceae
Source: RefSeq, a predicted model, not a curated record
GAACUCUAUCUCUAAGCUCUGAGAGUUUCACCCUUACUCUCACUUUGAUUCCUCCACAAAUCAAACCCCAUAACCACAGAUUUGGAAUCCCUAAGACUCAAUGAACCUGAAUAUGGUCUUGCAUGUAGCGACAGUGCACCAGGGUGCACCCCACCAUUGAAUCCGAGAGCUUCGAAGCUCCAAACUCUAACCCAGUUUUUGACGUUUUUCUCCGGUAAAACUCCGGUGAGUUUGAGACUGUGGUGUACGGACCGACCUGAACCGAUCCCAGUUUUGAGAAUCCGGCGAGGUACUCCGAGCUAAACUCGUUGAAUCCGAGGUGGAUUUGACCUCUCCUCCUUCUAAUUUGGUUUUGGGCAAGUCUCUAAACCUUGUGAGACUAAAUUCUAUGAAUUUGACAUGGUUUUUUUUUAUUGAAUUCGUGCUCGGGAAGCCCUUGAUCGUUUUUAUUGAAUUCGUGCUCGGGAAGCCCUUGAUCGUUUUUUAAUGUUCUUCUGCCGUUUUCGGCGACUUUGCCGCCAACGGUCACCGACGGACUGCUGCUGUCACUGUUAAAUUUGACGGCGACGACCACUAUUCCUUUAAACCUAACGGAGUUCCGUAACAGAAGAGGUUUAUUAGAGGAUAAAAAGAGUUUAGGCAAAGAGCCUAUUGACGAGGGAUGCUCUGCUUACCUGACAUAGCAAGAAUAAGGAGAAUACCAGAGUGACGAGUGGGCUUGGCAGUGAGGCUUUCAUUAUUUGGAUUUAGGGUGAUGGUUAAUUUACUGUGGUUUUAUCUUUAUUGUAAUAAUUGCAUGAUCGCAUUUUUAAUUAUGCACAACACUACACUUUUAUGUGUUUAUUGUUGUGCGAAACUUCUAGAUGCUCUGAUGUGAUGUGGUAAUAAUGGGAUUAAAUUCCCUAGAUAAUUUGUGUCCCCAAGUGGGGAGGUUGAUAAGUGAACUUUGAAAUUUGCUUUGGAUUUAUUAAUAAUGAACGUUUUGGUUCAAAUUCUUGCA